Thamnophis sirtalis is the source of this 281-nucleotide non-coding RNA. NCBI's taxonomy places the organism in Eukaryota, Metazoa, Chordata, Lepidosauria, Squamata, Natricidae. The record is from RefSeq and is a predicted model, not a curated record.
GAGACAGACAAACCCUUUCUCUUGGAAGGAACCCAAGGCCGGGAUGCCAUGAAAGCUGGCUCGGUAACCUGGGGCCAUUGAUGCUCUCUCUCAGCCCAACCUACCUCAUAGGAUUGUUGUGGGGAAAAAUAGCAGGAAGCAGUUUUAGGUGCUCUGUGUAAAAAUGAUUUCAAGCUUGGGAAAUACUAUAUUAAGAACUGUACUGCAUAUGUUCAUGAGGUAAGCAUAGUUUUUUGUUUUAUCUAUUUUAGGGGAUGGUUCACUAACUCUUAAAUUUAUUA